Molecule: ribosomal RNA, 483 nt
Filed under: uncultured bacterium
Lineage: Bacteria
Description: SSU rRNA
Rfam family: Bacterial small subunit ribosomal RNA
Source: RNAcentral
AGGACGAACGCUGGCGGCGUGCUUAACACAUGCAAGUCGAGCGGUGAUCCUCCUUCGGGAGGUGAGCAGCGGCGAACGGGUGAGUAACACGUGGGCAACCUGCCCCUCACACUGGGAUAACCUCGGGAAACCGGGGCUAAUACCGGAUAUGACCUCGAGCGGCAUCUCUUGAGGUGGAAAGCUCCGACGGUGAGGGAUGGGCCCGCGGCCUAUCAGCUUGUUGGUGGGGUAAUGGCCUACCAAGGCGACGACGGGUAGCCGGCCUGAGAGGGCGACCGGCCACACUGGGACUGAGACACGGCCCAGACUCCUACGGGAGGCAGCAGUGGGGAAUAUUGCGCAAUGGGCGAAAGCCUGACGCAGCGACGCCGCGUGAGGGAUGAAGGCCUUCGGGUUGUAAACCUCUUUCAGCAGGGACGAAGCGAAAGUGACGGUACCGUGCAGAAGAAGCACCGGCUAACUACGUGCCAGCAGCCGCGGUAA